UGUGAAAACGUUUCGUUCUUGCAAAAAAGGCCCUGCAGUUUGGGGUAUUCAACCCGCGUUCCGACCACACACAGAGCACGGGCGCCUCCUCUCCUUCUCGCCCGAGGAAGUCCUCGCCGCCGCCAGCACCCACGCCGCCUGCUUCCGGCGAGCUCCGGUGCCGCGCAGCACGCCCCCGAGCUCCCCGCGGUCUGCGCCUCCCUCUCCUCCUUCCAGAUUCUCUGCUCUCGGCCUCUACCGCCCGCUUGCAACCCCACCCGGCCCCGUGGCUAGGGUUUCUGGCAGGGCUUCGCCGGCACGUCUCCGGCGGCCCCAGGUUCGUCUCCUUCCUUUCGGUCAAGUCUUGGUGGAGGUGGGGCGGCGACUUGGUUGUGGAGGAAGGGAGCAUGGGGCGGCGUCAAGUGGGUGGAGCACGCGCUUCGCUGCGAGGGUGGAAGAAAAGCAUGGCGGAUACGGUUGCGUCGUGUAGGCGGGGGAGAAGGACGGCCAUGCGACCCUAUCAUCCUCUGGGUGGUGGUCUUCGUGCUCCAUGUGGAGACUAGGUGGAGCACAGACAACUGUUGUGGCUGAAGGUGCUGGGGCUGACGAGCUCCUGCCCCUACUGUAUGUGGAUUGGGAUGGAUGGGCACUGGGGUGAUUUGGGGAUCUGGCUGCUAAUGCUGCGAUAAAUCGUUGUAGCGAUUUUGUGUGAUCUUGGGCCGCUGGCUGUACCUUAUCUCUUGUGGUUGGCCAGGCAGCCACUAUUCCCAGUGGUCGUGUCGCUGUUAUCUGCUGCACAUCUUUAUAUGGAUGUAGCCUACGAAGAAUAGGAACAAUCACUACAGAGCCCGAAGAUUGUUUGUAUUUCUUUCAUUGUCUUUCACUGAUCUAUCAUUAUUUGAUUGGUCCAUGUAGAUUUAGAUAACAUGAGAUGAGCUGAUGAUACGUACUACUAUCUGAUGACACGAUUAUCUACUGCAGAAUUGUUGAUGUAUUUGUGCUGACAGGUUUUGCGAGUACUUGAAACACAUCCAUUAGAGGAAUUAGAGUUACGAAGUUCUGACCUGGUUCUUGGGGCAAUCUGAAAGAGAACUUGGUGAUUUCAAGUAAUUCUAAGAGCAUAGGCCUUAUCCUUAUUUUUAAAUAAUGGUAAGAGCAUAGAUCUCAUGGACCAGGAAUUAAUCCAUCAGGCAAGCAGAAGACUGAACGAAACAGUACCUACACAUAUUAUUUCCAAGAUGAUUAAUAUUGUUUUCUUUACUGUAAGGAACCAGCUUAAUUAAGGCCUUUAUGCAUUGAACAAACUACCAAGAUUUUGUAUCUUUCUGUAUGAUUCAUAUUGCAUAGACACAUGAGUAGCGAUGGGAUACUAUUUGGUAUGAACAACAUCAUCAUCUUGUAAUUCUAACAUGUAUGCACUUAACUUAUUUAUGCACAUAAUAGUGAUGCGUCUUCCGUAUCUGUCUAUUGUAUCUGAAUCUUCAAUGCAAUUAACUGCUUAAUUUGCCUUCAACGGGAUUGAGUGAUCUGGCAUAUAAGCUUAGCUCAGUGGUUCAGGUUAUCACUGUUAGUUUUCUGGUCGUGUAAGUUUUUAGACUUCUUGAGGUAGCUCAACCAAUAUGGCAUAAAGCUAUGAAGGGAUUUUGCUUGGAAAGAUUACUGAAAGGAUAACUUAACUUCAUUUUAUCCCCUAGAUUAGUAUAAGUAUAUAUUAGGCCCUCAUUUAUUUAGAUGUAUACCUUGCAUGGCAGUCUUGUUUAAACAGAUUUUUGGGGCAUUAAGCAAUUCAUACUUUGCUCACCAUUAUUCCCAUGUGUGUUGUUAGCCAAGCACUUGCUUUUCAAUAUAUCCUUUCCGAUGUUAGGCUGGGCUGCGCGAUUCUUCAGUGGCUGCUCAAUACAGUUGUGGUGAUCCGGGCGACGAGGAUAUUAGGGACAUCGGCCCGGCGAAGUAUGGUGCGUCAGCUAUGAAGCCAGAUCCGCAGGCACCAGGGACCAGGGUGGAUCAAGAGAGUUCUUGUGGAAGCGAAUCCGACAGAGCGAACCCUAUGCCUCAUUAGCAUGGGUACUCUUGAGAAGUCCAUAAUGGUUUUUGCAGAGGGCGCCGACAGAGGCAUACGACUUUUACAGCCUGUAUUAGUGGGAAAAUGGGUUUAGUAUCAGGCAUGGGAAGAGCCGAUUGAAUCCUGCAAGCGGAGGACCAUGCAGGAGACUGUUUGUGGUUGCUCAGGGGAUGCUUUGCGUGAGAAUACAAGGUCGUGCCGCUAUGAGUGUCCUGCGAUAAUAAGGCUGCUACGGACAUUAGAUAAUGGGGGGGGGGUACAUAACGGAGCACCGGGUAGAGCAUAACAAUGUUAUGACGCCAGGAGAGAUGUUGCACUGGCCACCGCACAUACACAUUGAUGUGUACAUGGGGGACCUGGUGCGGGCUGCGGGAAUCAUCCGUGGCCGCGCAUUACAGUGGCGGCAGGGUGGAUAAUGAUGGCAUUAGGGACAGUGCCUCGCGGAGUCCGAGGAGUCUGGAGUGAAACCAGAUUCCCGAGCACCCGGUAGACUAAGAGGUAUAUCGGAUAACUUAGCAGAAUCUGUGUUUUGGCUGACAACACUGAGGUUAGGGUGCGUCUUCACGGGAAGGAAAUUGAAAAAGUCAGUGCCAGAUUUAAACCGCCAUGUGGGGGAAGGUGCUGCGAUGAAAUUCCGUGUUGUUAGGUGCCCGCCUAACUGGCUAAUUUGAAAAUGUUGUAUAGUUAGCAGUGGCUGUCAUUUGUGAUUUUUGUUCGGAAAAACCUAGGAUGCAUUGUGGGGUGUGGGAAAACAAAUCAUUUUUAUUUCAUGUAAUUUAUGUCAAACCGUACCAUGGCAGCAAUAAUUUAAGAACUGUAGGAAAAUGAGAGUUGACUUGGAAUUCUGAAGUGUAUCAAUGACGAUCCUGUGAUUAUCAGAUUAUUAAUGUAUUCCUUGUGCCAUAAAAUUUCUGCCGAUGCAACUGUGAGCUCAGGGGCAAUUUAUUUUAUAUUUUUAUAUAGUUGCAAUAAAAUGCUACGGUUACCCGUUGGCUUGCAGGCCUGAUUAGUGAUGAAUAUUGUUACUCAAUUAAAAUGA
Long non-coding RNA from Triticum aestivum (bread wheat), 3080 nucleotides. RefSeq lists it as uncharacterized. The record is from RefSeq and is a predicted model, not a curated record. NCBI's taxonomy places the organism in Eukaryota, Viridiplantae, Streptophyta, Magnoliopsida, Poales, Poaceae. The transcript has 3 exons.